Molecule: transfer RNA, 82 nt
Filed under: Geminocystis sp. NIES-3708
Lineage: Bacteria; Bacillati; Cyanobacteriota; Cyanophyceae; Chroococcales; Geminocystaceae
Also listed under: 3 other names
Rfam family: tRNA
About the family: Transfer RNA (tRNA) molecules are approximately 80 nucleotides in length. Their secondary structure includes four short double-helical elements and three loops (D, anti-codon, and T loops).
Source: Rfam by way of RNAcentral
GCGGAUGUGGCGGAAUUGGUAUACGCGCACGCUUGAGGGGCGUGUGGUCUUGACCUUGCGAGUUCGAGUCUCGCCAUCCGCA